CAGUAGCCGCGGUAAUACGAAGGGUGCAAGCGUUAAUCGGAAUUACUGGGCGUAAAGCGUGCGCAGGCGGUUAUAUAAGACAGAUGUGAAAUCCCCGGGCUCAACCUGGGACCUGCAUUUGUGACAGUAUAGCUAGAGUACGGUAGAGGGGGAUGGAAUUCCGCGUGUAGCAGUGAAAUGCGUAGAUAUGCGGAGGAACACCGAUGGCGAAGGCAAUCCCCUGGACCUGUACUGACGCUCAUGCACGAAAGCGUGGGGAGCAAACAGGAUUAGAUACCCCCGUAGUCCCUGUCUCUUAUAA
RNAcentral lists this ribosomal RNA (301 nucleotides) under uncultured bacterium. Its description in RNAcentral is "partial 16S ribosomal RNA". It matches the Rfam family "Bacterial small subunit ribosomal RNA", at positions 509 to 809 of the family's 1533-position model. The record is from RNAcentral.